UACGUAGGGUGCAAGCGUUGUCCGGAAUUAUUGGGCGUAAAGAGCUCGUAGGCGGUUUGUCGCGUCUGCUGUGAAAACUCGGGGCUCAACUCCGAGCUUGCAGUGGGUACGGGCAGACUAGAGUGCGGUAGGGGAGACUGGAAUUCCUGGUGUAGCGGUGGAAUGCGCAGAUAUCAGGAGGAACACCGGUGGCGAAGGCGGGUCACUGGCCCGAUACUGACGCUGAGGCACGAAAGCGUGGGGAGAAAACAGG
RNAcentral lists this ribosomal RNA (253 nucleotides) under uncultured bacterium. Its description in RNAcentral is "partial 16S ribosomal RNA". It matches the Rfam family "Bacterial small subunit ribosomal RNA", at positions 524 to 776 of the family's 1533-position model. The record is from RNAcentral.